AAUGCAUUACCUAUAAAGUGAGAACAGUGAUUAUAAUUGU
RNAcentral lists this non-coding RNA (40 nucleotides) under Trypanosoma brucei brucei. Lineage: Eukaryota; Euglenozoa; Kinetoplastea; Trypanosomatida; Trypanosomatidae. The record is from RNAcentral.